RNAcentral lists this ribosomal RNA (432 nucleotides) under Magnusiomyces suaveolens. RNAcentral's name for it is "eukaryotic LSU rRNA". It matches the Rfam family "Eukaryotic large subunit ribosomal RNA", at positions 45 to 659 of the family's 3401-position model. Lineage: Eukaryota; Fungi; Ascomycota; Dipodascomycetes; Dipodascales; Dipodascaceae. The record is from RNAcentral.
AAUAAGCGGAGGAAAAGAAACCAACAGGGAUUGCCUUAGUAACGGCGAGUGAAGCGGCAAAAGCUCAAUUUGAAAUCGCUUCGGCGAGUUGUAAGUGAAGUGGUUAAGCUUUGAUGUAAGUUUCCUGGAACGGAACGCCAUAGAGGGUGAUAGCCCCGUUGUCUUUGCUUAAUGUGCUACUUCAGAGCGAGUCGAGUUGUUUGGGAAUGCAGCUCUAAUAGGUGGUAAACUCCAUCUAAGGCUAAAUAUUGCUGGGAGACCGAUAGCGAACAAGUACAGUGAUGGAAAGAUGAAAAGCACUUUGAAAAGAGAGUGAAAUAGCGUGUGAAAUUGUUGGAGGGGAAGGCGAUGAUAGGAAUAGGAGGCUGCGGUUUGAAAUAAUUGUUUUUCGGGCCACGGUCUCUGGUGCCUAUUUUCGCACCCGUCUUGAAA